CGGCGGACGGGUGAGUAACGCGUGGGUAACCUGCCUCAUACAGGGGGAUAACAGUUAGAAAUGACUGCUAAUACCGCAUAAGCGCACAGGACCGCAUGGUCCGGUGUGAAAAACUCCGGUGGUAUGAGAUGGACCCGCGUCUGAUUAGUUAGUUGGCGGGGUAACGGCCCACCAAGGCGACGAUCAGUAGCCGGCCUGAGAGGGUGAACGGCCACAUUGGGACUGAGACACGGCCCAGACUCCUACGGGAGGCAGCAG
RNAcentral lists this ribosomal RNA (258 nucleotides) under uncultured bacterium. RNAcentral's name for it is "partial 16S ribosomal RNA". It matches the Rfam family "Bacterial small subunit ribosomal RNA", at positions 96 to 354 of the family's 1533-position model. The record is from RNAcentral.